AACGAACGCUGGCGGCAUGCCUAACACAUGCAAGUCGAACGAAGGCUUCGGCCUUAGUGGCGCACGGGUGCGUAACGCGUGGGAAUCUGCCCUUUGCUUCGGAAUAACAGUUAGAAAUGACUGCUAAUACCGGAUGAUGUCGCAAGACCAAAGAUUUAUCGGCAAAGGAUGAGCCCGCGUAGGAUUAGCUAGUUGGUGGGGUAAAGGCCUACCAAGGCGACGAUCCUUAGCUGGUCUGAGAGGAUGAUCAGUCACACUGGGACUGAGACACGGCCCAGACUCCUACGGGAGGCAGCAGUGGGGAAUAUUGGACAAUGGGCGAAAGCCUGAUCCAGCAAUGCCGCGUGAGUGAUGAAGGCCUUAGGGUUGUAAAGCUCUUUUACCCGGGAUGAUAAUGACAGUACCGGGAGAAUAAGCUCCGGCUAACUCCGUG
RNAcentral lists this ribosomal RNA (433 nucleotides) under uncultured bacterium. RNAcentral's name for it is "partial 16S ribosomal RNA". It matches the Rfam family "Bacterial small subunit ribosomal RNA", at positions 29 to 507 of the family's 1533-position model. The record is from RNAcentral.